AUCAUCUGUAGGCCAGCCUGGUCUACAGAGCAAAUUCCAGGUCAGCCAGGGCUGCACAGAGAAACCCUGUCUUGAAAAACAAACAAACAAGCCUGGCGUUGGUGGCGCACGCCUAUAAUCCUAGCACUCGGUAGGCAGAGGCAGGCGGAUCUCUGUGAGUUCGAGGCCAGCCUGGUCUCCAGAGCAAGUGCCAGGACAGGCCCCAAAGCUACACAGAGAAACCCUGUCUCGAAAAACCAAAAAGAAAUUGCCAAAGAAUAAGUAAUAGUCUAAAAUAAAUUUAUUUAUGGAGUGAAACCUUGUCUCAAAAAGCCAAAACCAAACGAACAGAAAGAGAGACCAGUGUGGCUGGAGUGAGGGGGGUGGGUGGAAUUGGCUACAGAAGGCCAAGGCUGCGGAGGCCCCACUGUGUGGGACACCUCCAAACAGAGAGUGGGAGCGCCCAGAAGUGGGAACUGAUGCCCUCUUGUGGACAUACGGGGAAUAGUUCAACCAGGAGAGCCCAGAGUUAGGGGAGUCUGCUCAAUUUCAGAUGGGUGAUGCGUCCGGUGGAGCACGGUAGUGGCCGCUGUGGGAGGUGACAGGAACCAGGUGUGAAGUUCUUUUGACAUCAGGAAAACGUGGCGUGUGGUAGCCUGAGUAUGAGAUCCAGGUCAAGUGGGCGGAGACAAAGUGGGGACCAGAUGGACAAGGAGGAAACCAGAGGCAUCUGCGUGUGGUUUUUGCUUUCGUUUCCUGAAGUCAUAACAAAAACCAAAGGACAGCAUUCACACCAGUGACUCGCACAGGGGUGGAACGCAGGCGCCCUUGGCAGCGGUGGGGCAAGCCAAGGGACACCGUGGCCCCAGAUAAACCUCUUUUCCUGUGCUUCCGUGAGUCACCUACACCCCCACGGCAACCAGGUAAGGCAGGCACCAUAGGUGAUGGAAGCUGUCUUCCAUCACCUUCUAGUACAAUCAAGAAGGCAAAUGCACCAAU
This 978-nucleotide long non-coding RNA is filed under the name Cricetulus griseus (Chinese hamster). Its description in RNAcentral is "lncRNA (ENSCGRG00000024159.1)". The record is from RNAcentral. Lineage: Eukaryota; Metazoa; Chordata; Mammalia; Rodentia; Cricetidae.